CCCUUAGAUGUUCUGGGCCGCGCGCGCGCUACACUGAUGCAUUCAACAAGCCUAGCCUUGACCGAGAGGUCCGGGUAAUCUUUGAAACUGCAUCGUGAUGGGGCUAGAUUAUUGCAAUUAUUAAUCUUCAACGAGGAAUGCCUAGUAAGCGUGAUUCAUCAAAUCGCGUUGAUUACGUCCCUGCCCUUUGUACACACCGCCCGUCGCUCCUACCGAUUGAAUGUGUUGGUGAGGAGCUCGGAUUGGCAGCAGUUGGUGGUUCGCCACCGGCUAUUGCUGAGAAGUCCUCCAAACCGCCCCAUUUAGAGGAAGGAGAAGUCGUAACA
Molecule: ribosomal RNA, 326 nt
Filed under: uncultured eukaryote
Lineage: Eukaryota
Description: partial 18S ribosomal RNA
Rfam family: Eukaryotic small subunit ribosomal RNA
Source: RNAcentral